GGCGAACGGGUGAGUAAUACGUGGGUGAUCUGCCCUGCACUUUGGGAUAAGCCUGGGCAACUGGGUCUAAUACCGAAUAGGACCACGCGCUUCAUGGUGUGUGGUGGAAAGCUUUUGCGGUGUGGGAUGGGCCCGCGGCCUAUCAGCUUGUUGGUGGGGUAAUGGCCUACCAAGGCGACGACGGGUAGCCGGCCUGAGAGGGUGACCGGCCACACUGGGACUGAGAUACGGCCCAGACUCCUACGGGAGGCAGCAGUGGGGAAUAUUGCACAAUGGGCGCAAGCCUGAUGCAGCGACGCCGCGUGAGGGAUGACGGCCUUCGGGUUGUAAACCUCUUUCAAUAGGGACGAAGCGCAAGUGACGGUACCUAUAGAAGAAGCACCGGCCAACUACGUGCCAGCAGCCGCGGUAAUACGUAGGGUGCGAGCGUUGUCCGGAAUUACUGGGCGUAAAGAGCUCGUAGGUGGUUUGUCGCGUUGUUCGUGAAAACUCACAGCUUAACUGUGGGCGUGCGGGCGAUACGGGCAGACUAGAGUACUGCAGGGGAGACUGGAAUUCCUGGUGUAGCGGUGGAAUGCGCAGAUAUCAGGAGGAACACCGGUGGCGAAGGCGGGUCUCUGGGCAGUAACUGACGCUGAGGAGCGAAAGCGUGGGGAGCGAACAGGAUUAGAUACCCUGGUAGUCCACGCCGUAAACGGUGGGUACUAGGUGUGGGUUCCUUCCUUGGGAUCCGUGCCGUAGCUAACGCAUUAAGUACCCCGCCUGGGGAGUACGGCCGCAAGGCUAAAACUCAAAGGAAUUGACGGGGGCCCGCACAAGCGGCGGAGCAUGUGGAUUAAUUCGAUGCAACGCGAAGAACCUUACCUGGGUUUGACAUGCACAGGACGCCGGCAGAGAUGUCGGUUCCCUUGUGGCCUGUGUGCAGGUGGUGCAUGGCUGUCGUCAGCUCGUGUCGUGAGAUGUUGGGUUAAGUCCCGCAACGAGCGCAACCCUUGUCCUAUGUUGCCAGCGGGUUAUGCCGGGGACUCGUAGGAGACUGCCGGGGUCAACUCGGAGGAAGGUGGGGAUGACGUCAAGUCAUCAUGCCCCUUAUGUCCAGGGCUUCACACAUGCUACAAUGGCCGGUACAAAGGGCUGCGAUGCCGUGAGGUGGAGCGAAUCCUUUCAAAGCCGGUCUCAGUUCGGAUCGGGGUCUGCAACUCGACCCCGUGAAGUCGGAGUCGCUAGUAAUCGCAGAUCAGCAACGCUGCGGUGAAUACGUUCCCGGGCCUUGUACACACCGCCCGUCACGUCAUGAAAGUCGGUAACACCCGAAGCCGGUGGCCUAACCCUUGUGGAGGGAGCCGUCGA
RNAcentral lists this ribosomal RNA (1350 nucleotides) under Mycolicibacterium mucogenicum. RNAcentral's name for it is "bacterial SSU rRNA". It matches the Rfam family "Bacterial small subunit ribosomal RNA", at positions 97 to 1459 of the family's 1533-position model. Lineage: Bacteria; Bacillati; Actinomycetota; Actinomycetes; Mycobacteriales; Mycobacteriaceae. The record is from RNAcentral.